GGACAAUUAACUCAGUUGGUAGAGUGCAUCCUUGACGUGGAUGAAGUCAGGGGUUCGAGUCCCUUAUUGUCCA
Molecule: transfer RNA, 73 nt
Filed under: Clostridiales bacterium
Lineage: Bacteria; Bacillati; Bacillota; Clostridia; Eubacteriales
Description: tRNA-Val
Rfam family: tRNA
About the family: Transfer RNA (tRNA) molecules are approximately 80 nucleotides in length.
Source: RNAcentral